Molecule: transfer RNA, 70 nt
Filed under: Ictidomys tridecemlineatus (thirteen-lined ground squirrel)
Lineage: Eukaryota; Metazoa; Chordata; Mammalia; Rodentia; Sciuridae
Description: Spermophilus tridecemlineatus (thirteen-lined ground squirrel) tRNA
Rfam family: tRNA
About the family: Transfer RNA (tRNA) molecules are approximately 80 nucleotides in length. Their secondary structure includes four short double-helical elements and three loops (D, anti-codon, and T loops). Further hydrogen bonds mediate the characteristic L-shaped molecular structure. tRNAs have two regions of fundamental functional importance: the anti-codon, which is responsible for specific mRNA codon recognition, and the 3' end, to which the tRNAs corresponding amino acid is attached (by aminoacyl-tRNA synthetases). tRNAs cope with the degeneracy of the genetic code in two manners: having more than one tRNA (with a specific anti-codon) for a particular amino acid; and 'wobble' base-pairing, i.e. permitting non-standard base-pairing at the 3rd anti-codon position.
Source: Rfam by way of RNAcentral
GGAGUUGUGGCUCAGUGGCAAGAGCACUUGCCUAGCAUGUGUGAGGCCCUGGGUUCGAUUCCAAGCACCA